UCUUCAUUUCACGUGCUCUCUCUCUUCGGUCGAAGAGGCGAGAAAGCAUGUGAAAUGAGGAGA
Molecule: microRNA precursor, 63 nt
Filed under: Pristionchus pacificus
Lineage: Eukaryota; Metazoa; Nematoda; Chromadorea; Rhabditida; Neodiplogasteridae
Description: mir-8364 microRNA precursor family
Rfam family: mir-8364 microRNA precursor family
Source: Rfam by way of RNAcentral